GAUGAACGCUGGCGGCGUGCCUAAUACAUGCAAGUCGAGCGAACAGACGAGGAGCUUGCUCCCCUGACGUUAGCGGCGGACGGGCGAGUAACACGUGCAUAACCUACCUAUAUGACUGGGAUAACUUCGGGAAACCGGAGCUAAUACCGGAUAAUAUAUUCAACCGCAUGGUUCAAUAGUGAAAGACGGUUUUCCCGUCUCUUUUAGAUGGAUCCGGGCUGGAUUAGGUAGUUGGUAAGGUAACGGCUUACCAAGGCAACGGUGCGUAGCCGACCUGAGAGGGUGAUCGGCCAAACUUGAACUGGAGCAAGGUCCCGGCCCCUAAGGGAGGCAGGAGGAGGGAAUCUUCCGCAAAGGGCGACAGCUUGACGGCGCAACGCCGCGUGAGUGAUGAAGGUCUUCGGAUCGUAAAACUCUGUUAUUAGGGAAAAAAAAGUGUGUAAGUAACUAUGCGCGUCUUGACGGUACCUAAUCAGAUAACCACGGCUAACUACGUG
This 497-nucleotide ribosomal RNA is filed under the name uncultured bacterium. RNAcentral's name for it is "partial 16S ribosomal RNA". It matches the Rfam family "Bacterial small subunit ribosomal RNA", at positions 28 to 507 of the family's 1533-position model. The record is from RNAcentral.